CCUACGGGUGGCAGCAGUGAGGAAUAUUGGUCAAUGGGCGCGAGCCUGAACCAGCCAAGUAGCGUGAGGGAAGACGGUCCUAUGGAUUGUAAACCUCUUUUGUCGGGGAGCAAAAGACGCCACGCGUGGCGUUCCGAGAGUACCCGAAGAAAAAGCAUCGGCUAACUCCGUGCCAGCAGCCGCGGUAAUACGGAGGGUCCGGGCGUUAUCCGGAUUUAUUGGGUUUAAAGGGAGCGUAGGCCGCGUGUCAAGCGUGCUGUGAAAUUUCCGGGCUCAACCCGGGCCUUGCAGUGGAAACUGGCGUUCUUGAGUACGCGGAAGGCAGGCGGAAGUCGUGGUGUAGCGGUGAAAUGCUUAGAUAUGACGAAGAACCCCGAUUGCGAAGGCAGCUUGCUGCAGCGGAACUGACACUGAUGCUCGAAAGCGCGGGUAUCGAACAGGAUUAGAUACCCGUGUAGUC
Molecule: ribosomal RNA, 460 nt
Filed under: uncultured bacterium
Lineage: Bacteria
Description: partial 16S ribosomal RNA
Rfam family: Bacterial small subunit ribosomal RNA
Source: RNAcentral